ACCUUGUGGAACUCACAGUACGGUAUGUAGGUUCCUACUCUUCACCAGACUCCCACCAGAACCAAUGUAGCACCGUGCCUUCGGGGCAUUUCCUGUGUUUUUCCCAUGCAGCAGUCGUAAGGCUGUUGUCCCUGGUCAGUCAGUCAGCAUCAACCAGGAAGUGGUUUAAUAGGCACUAAAUAGACACUAAUGCCACUGGCAUUAAACAAAGCAUGUGUGUCUAUGUAUGCUAAUGAUUCAACCAUGUACACAUCAGAAACCACAGCUGAUGAAGUCACUGAAACCCUUAACAAAGAGUUGCAGUCUGUUUUGGAAUGUGUGGCCAGUAAUAAACUGGUCCUGAACAUCUCUAAAACUAAGAGCUUUGUAUUUGGUACAAAUCAUUCCCUAAGUUCUGGACCUCAGCUGAAUGUGGUAAUGAACAGUGUGGCUGUUGAACAAGUUGAGGAGACUAAAUUAUGUCAUGUUCUGUGUGGACCCAGUAAGAGGAGCUGCUUCUUUCUCAACAGCUUACAGGGAUCCUGAUAAAAUACUAAGAUACACACACCAAGUCUCUUGUAGUAGUGUGUGUGUGUGUGUGUGUGUGCAACAGCUAACGGGGAUCCUAAUAAAAUACCAAAAUACUACUACACGAGACUUGGUGUGUGUGUGUGCAACAGUGAGAGAGAGAGAGAGAGCGGGAGAGACAAACACCAUUGGGGGGGGGGCAGGCGGGUUUCCUCACAGUGGAACAGGAGGGGAAAGCUGCUGACGAAAGUUGUAAGUGUUAUUGCCCAAUUAGCUUCCCACAGCAACGCUGCAUCACCCUCUGGGCACUGAAAAUGUGCAUCAGAAAUGUCCCCCUAUUCCCUAUAUAGUGCACUACUUUUGGCUAAAACCCCUAUUCCCUAUAUAGUGCACUACUUUUGGCUAAAACCCCUAUUCCCUAUAUAGUGCACUACUUUUGGCUAAAACCCCUAUUCCCUGAGCCCUUAUUCUCUAGACCAGGGGUACUCAACUCUUACCCUACGAGGUCCGGAGCCUGCUGGUUUUCUGUUUUACCUGAUAAUGAAUUGCACAGACCUGGUUUCCCAGGACUAAAUCAGACCCUGAUUAGAGGGGACGAUGAGAACACGCAGUGGAACUGGCUUCGAGGUCCAACGUUGAGUUUGAGGGCUCUAGACCCUAUUUAGUGCACAGCUUAGCCCCUGGACCAAAAGUAGUAGCAGCCAUUUUGGACACAACCUUCCAGUGUGUUCUUUUAAUGUUAGCGGAGCUUUGAGAAGAACAAUGGACAUCCACUAGCUACAUAUCACAGCCCUGGGGAAGAUAGACAUCCACUAGCUACAUAUCACAGCCCUGGGGAAGAUAGACAUCCACUAGCUACAUAUCACAGCACUGGGGAAGAUAGACAUCCACUAGGUACACUGGGGAAGAUAGACAUCCACUAGGUACACUGGGGAAGAUAGACAUCCACUAGGUACAUAUCACAGCACUGGGGAAGAUAGACAUCCACUAGGUACAUAUCACAGCACUGGGGAAGAUAGACAUCCACUAGGUACACUGGGGAAGAUAGACAUCCACUAGGUACACUGGGGAAGAUAGACAUCCACUAGGUACACUGGGGAAGAUAGACAUCCACUAGGUCAUAUCACAGCACUGGGGAAGAUAGACAUCCACUAGGUACACUGGGGAAGAUAGACAUCCACUAGGUACAUAUCACAGCACUGGGGAAGAUAGACAUCCACUAGGUACACUGGGGAAGAUAGACAUCCACUAGGUACACUGGGGAAGAUAGACAUCCACUAGGUACACUGGGGAAGAUAGACAUCCACUAGGUACAUAUCACCAGCACUGGGGAAGAUAGACAUCCACUAGGUCAUAUCACAGCACUGGGGAAGAUAGACAUCCACUAGGUCAUAUCACAGCACUGGGGAAGAUAGACAUCCACUAGGUCAUAUCACAGCACUGGGGAAGAUAGACAUCCACUAGGUCAUAUCACAGCACUGGGGAAGAUAGACAUCCACUAGGUCAUAUCACAGCACUGGGGAAGAUAGACAUCCACUAGGUCAUAUCACAGCACUGGGGAAGAUAGACAUCCACUAGGUACACUGGGGAAGAUAGACAUCCACUAGGUCAUAUCACAGCACUGGGGAAGGAAAGGUGUAAAUGUGAAGUUAAUUUCCUCCUGGAAACCAGUUAGUUCCAGUAUUAAGUCCACAUGGGUGAUUUAUUAUGGAAAUCAUAUCAGACAACAUUGAGUUCAUGCAUAUUAUACUGUACGAUUCACCUUUAUGUGGUUCGUAAUUGUGUUGUGUGUGUGUGUUCUAUGCCUUUCUGUAUCUCUGUGUGUGUGUGUUUCUGUGUCCGUCUCUG
Molecule: long non-coding RNA, 2355 nt
Organism: Oncorhynchus tshawytscha (Chinook salmon)
Lineage: Eukaryota; Metazoa; Chordata; Actinopteri; Salmoniformes; Salmonidae
Exons: 5
Source: RefSeq, a predicted model, not a curated record